UUCAGGGGCUUCCAUCUCUGU
This 21-nucleotide non-coding RNA is filed under the name Arabidopsis thaliana (thale cress). Lineage: Eukaryota; Viridiplantae; Streptophyta; Magnoliopsida; Brassicales; Brassicaceae. The record is from RNAcentral.